RNAcentral lists this ribosomal RNA (1443 nucleotides) under uncultured bacterium. Its description in RNAcentral is "bacterial SSU rRNA". It matches the Rfam family "Bacterial small subunit ribosomal RNA". The record is from RNAcentral.
GAUGAACGCUGGCGGCGUGCUUAACACAUGCAAGUCGAACGGGCUCAUAUUGGAACCUAGUGAUGUAUGAGUUAGUGGCGGACGGGUGAGUAACGCGUGGAGAACCUGCCGUAUACUGGGGGAUAACACUUAGAAAUAGGUGCUAAUACCGCAUAAGCGCACAGCUUCGCAUGAAGCAGUGUGAAAAACUCCGGUGGUAUACGAUGGACCCGCGUCUGAUUAGCUUGUUGGCGGGGUAGAGGCCCACCAAGGCGACGAUCAGUAGCCGACCUGAGAGGGUGAUCGGCCACAUUGGAACUGAGACACGGUCCAAACUCCUACGGGAGGCAGCAGUGGGGAAUAUUGGGCAAUGGAGGCAACUCUGACCCAGCAACGCCGCGUGAGCGAUGAAGGUCUUCGGAUUGUAAAGCUCUUUAAGUGGGGACGAAGAAAGUGACUGUACCCACAGAAUAAGCCUCGGCUAACUACGUGCCAGCAGCCGCGGUAAUACGUAGGAGGCAAGCGUUAUCCGGAUUUACUGGGUGUAAAGGGAGCGUAGACGGCAGCGCAAGUCUGAAGUGAAAUCCCAUGGCUUAACCAUGGAACUGCUUUGGAAACUGUGCAGCUGGAGUGCAGGAGAGGUAAGCGGAAUUCCUAGUGUAGCGGUGAAAUGCGUAGAUAUUAGGAAGAACACCGGUGGCGAAGGCGACUUUCUGGACUGUAACUGACGUUGAGGCACGAAAGUGUGGGGAGCAAACAGGAUUAGAUACCCUGGUAGUCCACACUGUAAACGAUGGAUACUAGGUGUAGGAGGUAUUAAGCCUUCUGUGCCGUCGCUAACGCAGUAAGUAUCCCACCUGGGGAGUACGACCGCAAGGUUGAAACUCAAAGGAAUUGACGGGGGCCCGCACAAGCAGUGGAGUAUGUGGUUUAAUUCGAAGCAACGCGAAGAACCUUACCAGGGCUUGACAUACAAGUGAAUGACUAAGAGAUUAGUCAGUAUUUCGGUACACUUGUACAGGUGGUGCAUGGUUGUCGUCAGCUCGUGUCGUGAGAUGUUAGGUUAAGUCCUGCAACGAGCGCAACCCUUAUACUUAGUUGCCAGCACGUGAAGGUGGGCACUCUGGCGGGACAGCCUGGGAUAACCAGGAGGAAGGCGGGGACGACGUCAAAUCAUCAUGCCCCUUAUGGCCGGGGCUACACACGUGCUACAAUGGCGUAAACAGAGGGAAGCGAGAUAGCGAUAUUAAGCGAAGCCCAAAAAUAACGCCUCAGUUCGGAUUGCAGCCUGCAACUCGGCUGCAUGAAGCCGGAAUCGCUAGUAAUCGCGGAUCAGAAUGCCGCGGUGAAUACGUUCCCGGGUCUUGUACACACCGCCCGUCACACCAUGGGAGUCGGGAAUGCCCGAAGUCGGUGAGCUAACGAAAGAGGCAGCCGCCGAAGGCAGGCCUGGUAACUGGGGUG